This 495-nucleotide ribosomal RNA is filed under the name uncultured bacterium. RNAcentral describes it as "partial 16S ribosomal RNA". It matches the Rfam family "Bacterial small subunit ribosomal RNA", at positions 28 to 507 of the family's 1533-position model. The record is from RNAcentral.
GACGAACGCUGGCGGCGUGCCUAAUACAUGCAAGUAGAACGCUGAAGGAGGAGCUUGCUUCUCUGGAUGAGUUGCGAACGGGUGAGUAACGCGUAGGUAACCUGCCUGGUAGCGGGGGAUAACUAUUGGAAACGAUAGCUAAUACCGCAUAAGAGUAGAUGUUGCAUGACAUUUGCUUAAAAGGUGCAAUUGCAUCACUACCAGAUGGACCUGCGUUGUAUUAGCUAGUUGGUGGGGUAACGGCUCACCAAGGCGACGAUACAUAGCCGACCUGAGAGGGGGAUCGGCCACACUGGGACUGAGACACGGCCCAGACGCCUACGGGAGGCAGCAGUAGGGAAUCUUCGGCAAUGGACGGAAGUCUGACCGAGCAACGCCGCGUGAGUGAAGAAGGUUUUCGGAUCGUAAAGCUCUGUUGUAAGGGAAGAACGAGUGUGAGAGUGGAAAGUUCACACUGUGACGGUAUCUUACCAGAAAGGGACGGCUAACUACGUG